Molecule: ribosomal RNA, 615 nt
Filed under: uncultured fungus
Lineage: Eukaryota; Fungi
Description: eukaryotic LSU rRNA
Rfam family: Eukaryotic large subunit ribosomal RNA
Source: RNAcentral
GCAUAUCAAUAAGCGGAGGAAAAGAAACCAACCGGGAUUGCCCUAGUAACGGCGAGUGAAGCGGCAACAGCUCAAAUUUGAAAUCUGGCUCUUUUAGAGUCCGAGUUGUAAUUUGCAGAGGGCGCUUUGGCUUUGGCAGCGGUCCAAGUUCCUUGGAACAGGACGUCACAGAGGGUGAGAAUCCCGUACGUGGUCGCUGGCUAUUGCCGUGUAAAGCCCCUUCGACGAGUCGAGUUGUUUGGGAAUGCAGCUCUAAAUGGGAGGUACAUUUCUUCUAAAGCUAAAUAUUGGCCAGAGACCGAUAGCGCACAAGUAGAGUGAUCGAAAGAUGAAAAGCACUUUGGAAAGAGAGUCAAACAGCACGUGAAAUUGUUGAAAGGGAAGCGCUUGCAGCCAGACUUGCUUGCAGUUGCUCAUCCGGGCUUUUGCCCGGUGCACUCUUCUGCAGGCAGGCCAGCAUCAGUUUGGGCGGUAGGAUAAAGGUCUCUGUCACGUACCUCUCUUCGGGGAGGCCUUAUAGGGGAGGCGACAUACUACCAGCCUGGACUGAGGUCCGCGCAUCUGCUAGGAUGCUGGCGUAAUGGCUGUAAGCGACCCGUCUUGAAACCACGGACC